Molecule: ribosomal RNA, 482 nt
Filed under: uncultured bacterium
Lineage: Bacteria
Description: bacterial SSU rRNA
Rfam family: Bacterial small subunit ribosomal RNA
Source: RNAcentral
AUUGAACGCUGGCGGCAUGCCUUACACAUGCAAGUCGAACGGCAGCGGACCUUCGGGUGCCGGCGAGUGGCGAACGGGUGAGUAAUAUAUCGGAACGUACCUUUCAGUGGGGGAUAACGUAGCGAAAGUUACGCUAAUACCGCAUAUUCUGUGAGCAGGAAAGCAGGGGAUCGCAAGACCUUGCGCUGAUUGAGCGGCCGAUAUCAGAUUAGCUAGUUGGUGAGGUAAAGGCUCACCAAGGCGACGAUCUGUAGCGGGUCUGAGAGGAUGAUCCGCCACACUGGAACUGAGACACGGUCCAGACUCCUACGGGAGGCAGCAGUGGGGAAUUUUGGACAAUGGGCGCAAGCCUGAUCCAGCCAUGCCGCGUGAGUGAAGAAGGCCUUCGGGUUGUAAAGCACUUUUAUCAGGAACGAAAAGCGUUGGAUUAAUACUCUGACGUGCUGACGGUACCUGAGGAAUAAGCACCGGCUAACUUCGUG